Molecule: ribosomal RNA, 239 nt
Filed under: Escherichia coli
Lineage: Bacteria; Pseudomonadati; Pseudomonadota; Gammaproteobacteria; Enterobacterales; Enterobacteriaceae
Description: partial 23S ribosomal RNA
Rfam family: Bacterial large subunit ribosomal RNA
Source: RNAcentral
ACCCCAAACCGACACAGGUGGUCAGGUAGAGAAUACCAAGGCGCUUGAGAGAACUCGGGUGAAGGAACUAGGCAAAAUGGUGCCGUAACUUCGGGAGAAGGCACGCUGAUAUGUAGGUGAAGUCCCUUGCGGAUGGAGCUGAAAUCAGUCGAAGAUACCAGCUGGCUGCAACUGUUUAUUAAAAACACAGCACUGUGCAAACACGAAAGUGGACGUAUACGGUGUGACGCCUGCCCGGU